CUGUAGUUUGAGGAAAAUAAUAAUUUUAAAAAGAAGGGAGGGCAAGGGAAACAGAGGGAUGAAGGAGGAAACGGGGCAUUCUCUCUGACAAAGGAGAUAAUAUGACAAGGAAUAUUGGACUGACUUCUCUUCCCCUGAAAACGAAAGAAUCAC
Molecule: long non-coding RNA, 153 nt
Filed under: Dasypus novemcinctus (nine-banded armadillo)
Lineage: Eukaryota; Metazoa; Chordata; Mammalia; Cingulata; Dasypodidae
Description: NPPA antisense RNA 1 conserved region 2 (ENSDNOG00000043854.1)
Rfam family: NPPA antisense RNA 1 conserved region 2
Source: RNAcentral